RNAcentral lists this ribosomal RNA (468 nucleotides) under uncultured bacterium. RNAcentral's name for it is "partial 16S ribosomal RNA". It matches the Rfam family "Bacterial small subunit ribosomal RNA", at positions 28 to 507 of the family's 1533-position model. The record is from RNAcentral.
GACGAACGCUGGCGGCGUGCUUAACACAUGCAAGUCGAACGGAAAGGCCCUGCUUUUGUGGGGUGCUCGAGUGGCGAACGGGUGAGUAACACGUGAGUAACCUGCCCUUGACUUUGGGAUAACUUCAGGAAACUGGGGCUAAUACCGGAUAGGAGCUCCUGCUGCAUGUUGUGGGUUGGAAAGUUUCGGCUGUUGGGGAUGGACUCGCGGCUUAUCAGCUUGUUGGUGGGGUAGUGGCUUACCAAGGCUUUGACGGGUAGCCGGCCUGAGAGGGUGACCGGCCACAUUGGGACUGAGAUACGGCCCAGACUCCUACGGGAGGCAGAAGUGGGGAAUAUUGCACAAUGGGCGGAAGCCUGAUGCAGCAACGCCGCGUGCGGGAUGACGGCCUUCGGGUUGUAAACCGCUUUCGCCUGUGACGAAGCGUGAGUGACGGUAAUGGGUAAAGAAGCACCGGCUAACUACGUG